RNAcentral lists this ribosomal RNA (497 nucleotides) under uncultured bacterium. RNAcentral describes it as "partial 16S ribosomal RNA". It matches the Rfam family "Bacterial small subunit ribosomal RNA", at positions 28 to 507 of the family's 1533-position model. The record is from RNAcentral.
GAUGAACGCUGGCGGCGUGCCUAAUACAUGCCAGUCGAGCGAACGGACGAGAAGCUUGCUUCUCUGAUGUUAGCGGCGGACGGGUGAGUAACACGUGGAUAACCUACCUAUAAGACUGGGAUAACUUCGUGAAACCGGAGCUAAUACCGGAUAAUAUUUUGAACCGCAUGGUUCAAAAGUGAAAGACGGUCUUGCUGUCACUUAUAGAUGGAUCCGCGCUGCAUUAGCUAGUUGGUAAGGUAACGGCUUACCAAGGCAACGAUGCAUAGCCGACCUGAGAGGGUGAUCGGCCACACUGGAACUGAGACACGGUCCAGACUCCUACGGGAGGCAGCAGUAGGGAAUCUUCUGCAAUGGGCGAAAGCCUGACGGAGCAACGCCGCGUGAGUGAUGAAGGUCUUCGGAUCGUAAAACUCUGUUAUUAGGGAAGAACAUAUGUGUAAGUAACUGUGCACAUCUUGACGGUACCUAAUCAGAAAGCCACGGCUAACUACGUG